Molecule: ribosomal RNA, 378 nt
Filed under: uncultured microorganism
Description: bacterial SSU rRNA
Rfam family: Archaeal small subunit ribosomal RNA
Source: RNAcentral
GCGCACCAGGCGAGAAUACUUUACAAUGUGCGAAAGCACGAUAAGGGAACUCUGAGUGCCUCCUAAGGAGGCUGUUCAGGUGUCUAAAAAGCACCUGAAGGAAGGGCUGGGUAAGACCGGUGCCAGCCGCCGCGGUAACACCGGCAGCCCAAGUGGUAGCCACGUUUAUUGGGUCUAAAGCGUCCGUAGCCGGCUGGGUAAGUUCCUUGGGAAAUUUGGCUGCUUAACAGUCAAGCUUUCAGGGAAUACUGCCCGGCUUGGGACCGGGAGAGGUCAGAGGUACUCCAGGGGUAGGGGUGAAAUCCAUUAAUCCUUGGGGGACCACCGGUAGCGAAGGCGUCUGACCAGACCGGGUCCGACGGUGAGGGACGAAGGCUA